ACACACACACACACACACACACACACACGCAAACAGACACACACAAACACACACACGCACACAGUCCACUUGGUUGACAUCUUUAUUGUAGGAGCCAAAAUGCUUAUGCUUAAAUGUUUUAUUGAUCCUUGCAAGAAACCCCAACACAACACAGCAAAUUUGUAUUUGAGUGUAAUUCCGACACUGAACAGCAGGUAGAGUCUUGACUUAUGCUGUGCAUAAAGCCAAGGCUCCAGGUAAUUGGGUUCAGGUGUGUUUGGAAGCAUAUAGUUUUUUUGACCGUGUCGGGUUGACUAUGAUGUAACAGUUUAUGCUUUAUGAUGUAUUGGACAGAAUGGGACAUUUAUGUGCAUAAGUCAACCCCGAUCAUGAACUAUGAUAAACAGAUUGAUGACUCUAUUGGAAAAGAGUAUCAGACAUUUGUUUGUUCCAGAUGCACGCGUCCGGACAUAGUUCCACAACUCACAUCUCAGUGAAGACUGCUUUGGACAAUAUAAGGUUUAGCGUCACACUCCAGACGUCCGUAUGAUCUUCUCCUCAUGUUGUUCAUGUUUGCUGCAGAAUAUCAGAGCCUUUAACUCUUUCUUAUUCCAUGAUGGCACCAUAACAAAGGUCGGCUGUCAUUACACCCGUACUCACACUUUGCAUCCACACUGGUGUUAAAUGGUGUUACAGCUGUCACACCUUUCACACCUGUUACAGCUGUCACACCUUUCACACCUGUUACAGCUGUCACACCUUUCACACUUCUUACAGCUGUCACACCUUUGUUGGGCCUCAGCCAUGUGUGCUGGACAAAGGACUCAGGCCUGUAUCACAGUUCUCAAGCCUGACUAGAGUUGUUUUGGAGGGAACUAUACUUAGCCCAGCACCCCCCAACAGCAACUAACAAAUAGGUGUGAAAAGUAGGGAUGUGGGGGGUGUCUGGAUUCUCUAUCCUCAUUGGAGGAGGCCUGAGGUUAACUCACAGGCAGUUCCAGUCUUUAAAAUCAAUCGCCAGGCAUUGCUCAAUUUUGGGCGCAAUCAGAUGCUAUCAGGUUUGAGCAAAAAGAAGAGUUUCCUUCCUUUAAUUUUUCGUAAGACGUCAUUGAACGCAACUGGUAAGGAGCGCUGAAGAAAGCCCACUGAUCCCUGAAUCCACAAGGACACAUAAAGAACUCGGCUCCUGCAACCAGAAGACCCUAUAGAGCAGUGCUCUGGUCGAAGAUCUGAACCCUGCUACCCUCCUCCUACAUCAGCCACGAAGGAAACCUGCCUGAAUCUGAUGAUUCAACAUUCAACAGAGUGAAGAUCCAACCAACUUUGCAAUGAUCACCAGGAGUUACCCCAAGUAAGAGCUUUGGUCUGGGCAGAAAUAGUUUCAGAAAUAGUUAUGUUUCUUUUAUAACCACUGAUAAUUGUGCAUCAUUGUUGACGACACGUCACAUUCUGUUUAUUAUCUGUUGUAAGCUGCUGCAUUUGUUUUAUUGUGACGAACCGCCGUGUUCGCCAAUGUGUGUAAUGCUACGCUAGUUUACCUUCAGUCAACGGCUUUCACAAUCAGAAAGACCAGUGUACCCGCCGUUGAAUCAAAGUCCGGCCACUGGCUUUAUGGUGUUUAAGUAACAGUUACUGAACUCAGCUCAGAGAGCUCAAACUAUUUCAAAAGGUAGCCACACGGCUUCCUUUGUUGUCCACCAUUUUGUCCACAUGUGACGAAGCCACAUGGUGCAUUGUCUCUCUCCACCAUCUUGUUUUCUCUCUCUCUCUCUCUCUCUCUCUCCCUCAUCCACACACACACAUAACUACACUUUUACACCUCAUUCACAAGUUUUGCUUGAUAAUGUUUGUUUGCUUAGAUUAGUUUAUAAUAGUUAUUUGUUGGACUGAGUUUCAUUGAUUUUGGAUUGAUGUUGCUUUGUUUAAAUAAAUUCUGUUAUAAUUUAA
Long non-coding RNA from Labrus mixtus (cuckoo wrasse), 1926 nucleotides. RefSeq lists it as uncharacterized. The record is from RefSeq and is a predicted model, not a curated record. Lineage: Eukaryota; Metazoa; Chordata; Actinopteri; Labriformes; Labridae. The transcript is spliced from 2 exons.